AAAAAAAUUGUAUUAAAUAAACAACUGUUGCUCGAAACGUUUCUUGGGUAUUUAUUGGAGAGUCCAAUCGUUUCAUGGAAGCCCAAAGGUAAAACAGUUGCCCCUUCCUCAAAUCUCUCACAUAACAGUACUCUCCCCCAAAUAGAAGACGAGGCAAAUUUGGAGUCAAUGGUGGCAGGCUUUCAAUUUGGAUUCCGAGUCGAAAAUCAGGGAUCAACAACGUUAUUGAUUGGCAGCAAUUAAAGGCUUCAACGACAAGACACUUUCUGCUCCCGAGAAAAUUCACGGACAGUUCAUGACUUUGCAGAAAUGUGGAACUAAACAAGUGAUGGUGACGCGCAACAUAGUGAAGAUUAUGUUGUUCAAGAUAAGUGGGUUAAAAAGGUAUAGACAAAAAAUUGGAUAUAUUACAGGUACAUGUUUAAUAGAUGCAACUCUGUUACUUGCUUCAGCCAAACAAGCAGCAUCGUGGUAGAACUUUAUUAUUGAGGUGUACCUUUGAGCUUUACUCUAUGUGCCAUAAUAAUGAGUUAUUUGACAUUGAAAUGUUAUGUUACUUGAUUACUGUCUAAAGCUAACUAUUAUAACUUAUGCAAAUAAACUAACAUGCUGAAGGAGGAUAUAAUAUCUAGAAAGAAUACAAAUAAGGAUAAAACAAUUUUACUUUAUUUUGUCUAUUUUGAAGGUACCAGUAACUUAAUUGAUAAUAAUAAACCUUGCACAAUGCUUACUCAAGCAUUAGCACAAGUUAGAUAGCACAACAAUUAGUCGUGCUUAGAAACUUUUUCUUGAAAGAAACCUUUGUUUAAUGCAAUAUUUGAAAAUUCUUGUAGCUAAGGUGAGCAUUAACAAGGUUUUUUUCAUCUUAGGAAUAAAUUUAUAGUAUGCAGAAGGUACAUUUUGUUUGAAAUUGAUUGAAAAGAUAGUUUUUGCUCAGUUAUAUACUCUAACAAAGAUAAUUACAUAUACCAAUUGGGAAUUUCAGAAAUUAUUGCAUAGGUUUUGUCAGUCAAAUGGUUGGAGGCCUAUCCUUUUGUGACAUUUUUUUGAGGAGUAUAUUCAGGUGUCCGCUUAUGCAAAAGAUAGUUUUGUACAUUAAAAUAUAAAUUAACAUGUUUAUAUAUUAUUUUGUGCACUGUUAAUUUUUUUAUUCUAUAAUCUGAAGUAAUCAUAUUCUGCUGGCUCUUUUUAAAUAUGAAAAGGAAAGGAUUGGAACUUUUGAAAAAAGCUUUUAUGGUGUUCCAGUUUUUCAGGUACACUCUCUCCAAUUAUUUGUGGCACCUCUCUUAGACCAGAAAAAGCUAUUUAUCUUUAACUUCCUUUCUUUGCCUUUAUCUCCCAAUUAUUUAGUUGUUCGAUCUUCCAAGUUAUUGUUUAUUUAUUGUGCAAUUAGAGAGAGUAAUAAAAAGUUAUAAAUGCGUUAAUUUUUUAACGGGGUCCUAAAGAGAUGUACAUAAUAACUUAUUACAAUUAAUUGCUUAAAACUUCUGGCUUCUCAUUCUAUAGUGCAGAGUAUCGUCAAAAAUAUAUAUAUAAUAAAGAACACCACCAUCACUCUUAACCUUGAUAGCCAAUGCAUCCUCUUAACCAAUUACAGGUAAUUCUUACUUUACUAUUAGAUUGUUUUUGCUACUUCUUUUACCCUUCAAAGCUUAAAUUUGUUUCACCUUGGCAAUAUUUCUUUUGAGAGCAAUACUUGGACAUAUCGUGGAAGGAGAUGCACUUUCUUUAAAAAAAAACUUUCAAUAUUUUGUGUUACCUAACUAAUUAUAUUCUUUAUUUUGUGAUAAAUUAUUGGAAUUUAUCUGAUUGUAUGAUAUGAGGAUUUUAAGGAUGUUGCAGGAACUAUUUUAGAGGGAAAAGCAAUUGAAAAUCUAUAAGCAUCCAUUAUAUUCUCUCGCUUUCUUCUCAUAAAGUUGUGCUCACAGUCUUUGUGUUUGUGUAUAUGUAUGAGAUCUUUUUUUUUAUACAAAUUACAUAUAUGUAUGCCAUUUGGAUACACAAAGGAAUUACGCAAUUAAAUUCUUAUUUUCAAUCUACAAUUUAAAUGGAUUUGGUAUAUGUGAUUGUGUCAAUGGGUUCAUCCUGGUGUGUCAAGUGGGAGAAAUACCUUUGUUUGUAACUGAAAAUGUGUUGUACAUUUUAUUAUUUCUCCUGCAUAAUAUUGGAAAUAUAUCAUCAGACAUAUUCUAUGUCGUUUUUA
Long non-coding RNA from Nicotiana tabacum (common tobacco), 2203 nucleotides. RefSeq lists it as uncharacterized. The record is from RefSeq and is a predicted model, not a curated record. NCBI's taxonomy places the organism in Eukaryota, Viridiplantae, Streptophyta, Magnoliopsida, Solanales, Solanaceae.